RNAcentral lists this ribosomal RNA (443 nucleotides) under uncultured bacterium. RNAcentral describes it as "partial 16S ribosomal RNA". It matches the Rfam family "Bacterial small subunit ribosomal RNA", at positions 338 to 795 of the family's 1533-position model. The record is from RNAcentral.
CCUACGGGAGGCUGCAGUGGGGAAUAUUGGGCAAUGGGCGCAAGCCUGACCCAGCAACGCCGCGUGAAGGAAGAAGGCUUUCGGGUUGUAAACUUCUUUUCUCAGGGACGAAGCAAGUGACGGUACCUGAGGAAUAAGCCACGGCUAACUACGUGCCAGCAGCCGCGGUAAUACGUAGGUGGCAAGCGUUAUCCGGAUUUACUGGGGGUAAAGGGCGUGUAGGCGGGGACGCAAGUCAGAUGUGAAAACCACGGGCUCAACCUGUGGCCUGCAUUUGAAACUGUGGUUCUUGAGUACUGUAGAGGCAGACGGAAUUCCUAGUGUAGCGGUGAAAUGCGUAGAUAUUAGGAGGAACACCAGUGGCGAAGGCGGUCUGCUGGACAGCAACUGACGCUGAGGCGCGAAAGCGUGGGGAGCAAACAGGAUUAGAUACCCCUGUAGUC